This 68-nucleotide transfer RNA is filed under the name Ogmocotyle sp. JM-2015. Its description in RNAcentral is "tRNA-Lys". The record is from RNAcentral. Lineage: Eukaryota; Metazoa; Platyhelminthes; Trematoda; Plagiorchiida; Notocotylidae.
CUGUUGGUAGCUUAAGGAAAGCUUAGGAUUCUUACUCCUAUGUUGUAAACUUUGUUUUAUUCAGCAGG